This 949-nucleotide ribosomal RNA is filed under the name uncultured bacterium. RNAcentral's name for it is "bacterial SSU rRNA". It matches the Rfam family "Bacterial small subunit ribosomal RNA", at positions 8 to 958 of the family's 1533-position model. The record is from RNAcentral.
AGAGUUUGAUCAUGGCUCAGAACGAACGCUGGCGGCGUGCUUAACACAUGCAAGUCGCGUGCGCAGUUCCGUAGCAAUACGGGAUGGGCGCACGGCGCACGGGUGCGUAACACGUGGGCAAUCUGCCCUCUGAUGGGGAAUAACCCGCCGAAAGGCGGGCUAAUUCCGCAUAAGAUUCCCGGAACUUCGGUUCUGGGAUUGAAAGCAGUAAUGCGUCGGAGGAGGAGCCCGCGCCCGAUUAGCUAGUUGGUGAGGUAACGGCUCACCAAGGCAAUGAUCGGUAGCUGGUCUGAGAGGAUGAUCAGCCACACUGGAACUGAGACACGGUCCAGACUCCUACGGGAGGCAGCAGUGGGGAAUCUUGCACAAUGGGCGAAAGCCUGAUGCAGCGACGCCGCGUGGGGGAUGAAGCAUUUCGGUGUGUAAACCCCUUUCGACUGGGAAGAAUACCUCGCAAGAGGGGUGACGGUACCAGUAGAAGAAGCCCCGGCUAACUACGUGCCAGCAGCCGCGGUAAGACGUAGGGGGCCAGCGUUGUUCGGAAUUACUGGGUGUAAAGGGUUCGUAGGCGGUGCGGCAAGUUGGGAGUGAAAUCUCUGGGCUUAACCCAGAGGCUGCUUCCAAAACUGCUGUGCUCGAGUGUGAGAGAGGCUCGUGGAAUUGCAGGUGUAGCGGUGAAAUGCGUAGAUAUCUGCAGGAACACCCGUGGCGAAAGCGGCGAGCUGGAUCACUACUGACGCUGAGGAACGAAAGCUAGGGGAGCAAACAGGAUUAGAUACCCUGAUAGUCCUAGCCCUAAACGAUCAGGACUUGGGGUGCCGCCCGUUCGGGCGUCGUCCCGGAGCUAACGCGUUAAGUCCUGCACCUGGGGAGUACGGUCGCAGACUGAAACUCAAAGGAAUUGACGGGGCCCGCACAAGCGGAGGAACAUGUGGUUCAAUUCGACGCU